Molecule: ribosomal RNA, 454 nt
Filed under: uncultured bacterium
Lineage: Bacteria
Description: bacterial SSU rRNA
Rfam family: Bacterial small subunit ribosomal RNA
Source: RNAcentral
UACGGGAGGCAGCAGUGGGGAAUAUUGCACAAUGGGCGCAAGCCUGAUGCAGCCAUGCCGCGUGUAUGAAAAAGGCCUUCGGGUUGUAAAGUACUUUCAGUCGUGAGGAAGGUGUUAAGGUUAAUAACCUUAGCAAUUGACGUUAGCGACAGAAGAAGCACCGGCUAACUCCGUGCCAGCAGCCGCGGUAAUACGGAGGGUGCGAGCGUUAAUCGGAAUUACUGGGCGUAAAGGGCACGCAGGCGGUUAAUUAAGUUGGAUGUGAAAUCCCCGGGCUUAACCUGGGAAUGGCAUUCAAGACUGGUUAGCUAGAGUCUUGUAGAGGGGGUAGAAUUCCAUGUGUAGCGGUGAAAUGCGUAGAGAUGUGGAGGAAUACCGGUGGCGAAGGCGGCCCCUGGACAAAGGCUGACGCUCAUGUGCGAAAGCGUGGGGAGCAAACGAGGGAUUAGAUACC